GACGAACGCUGGCGGCGUGCUUAACACAUGCAAGUCGAACGGACGGGCGCUGAGCUUGUUUGGUGCUUGUUAGCGGAAGACGGGUGUGUAACGCGUGGAACCUGCCCUUGAAUGUGUGAGAACAUUACGGGACUCGGGAGAAUACAGGGGAUAAUAUUCUGCUGCGUGUGGUUGGAAGGAGAGAGUCGGCGGUGCGGGAUGGAAUCGCGGCUUAUCAGCUGGUUGGUGGGGUAGGGGCUUACCAGGGCUAUGACGGGUAGCCGGCCUGAGAGGGUGGCCGGCCACAUUGGGACUGAGAUACGGCCCAGACUCCUACGGGAGGCAGCAGUGGGGAAUAUUGCACAAUGGGCGGAAGCCUGAUGCAGCAACGCCGCGUGCGGGAUGACGGCCUUCGGGUUGUAAACCGCUUUCGCAUGUGACGAAGCGUGAGUGACGGUAAUGGGUAAAGAAGCAACGGCUAACUACGUG
This 468-nucleotide ribosomal RNA is filed under the name uncultured bacterium. Its description in RNAcentral is "partial 16S ribosomal RNA". It matches the Rfam family "Bacterial small subunit ribosomal RNA", at positions 28 to 507 of the family's 1533-position model. The record is from RNAcentral.